Molecule: ribosomal RNA, 865 nt
Filed under: uncultured bacterium
Lineage: Bacteria
Description: SSU rRNA
Rfam family: Bacterial small subunit ribosomal RNA
Source: RNAcentral
UACGUAGGGAGCGAGCGCUGUCCGGAAUUACUGACCGUAAAGGACGUGUAAGCGCACAAUUUAAGUAAGGUGUGAAAACUCCGGGCUCAACCUGGAGACUGCACUUUAAACUGGAUUUCUUGAGGGCAGGAGAGGAAAGUGGAAUUCCUAGUGUAGCGGUGAAAUGCGUACAUAUUAGGAGGAACACCAGUGGCGAAGGCGACUUUCUGGACUGCACCUGACGCUGAGGCGCGAAAGCGCGUAGAGCGAACAGGAUUAAAUACCCUGGUAGUCCGCGCUGUAAACGAUGAAUACUACGUGUAGGGGGUAUCGACCCCCCCUGUGCCGCAGUUAACACAAUAAGUAUUCCGCCUGGGGAGUACCACCGCCAGGUUGAAACUCAAAGGAAUUGACGGGGAGCCGCACAAGCGGUGGAGCAUGUGGUUUAAUUCGUCGCACCGCGAAGAACCUUACCAGGGCUUGACAUCCCUUGACCGCCAUGGAAACAUGGUUUUCGGGCCUUCGGGUCCGACAAGGAGACAGGUGGUGCAUGGUUGUCGUCAGCUCGUGUCGUGAGAUGUUGGGUUAAGUACCGCACCGAGCGCAACCCCUAUUUCCAGUUGCCAGCACGUAACGGUGGGAACUCUGGAGAAACUUCCGGUGACAAACCGGAGGAAGGUGGGGAUGAGGUCAAAUCAUCAUGCCCUUUAUGUCCUGGGCUACACACGUGCUUCAAUGGCCGAUACAGAGGGCUGCAAAACCGUGAGGUGGAGCGAAUCCCAAAAGUCGGUUUCAGUUCGGAUUGCAGCAUGCAACUCGCGUGCAUGAAGUCGGAAUCCCUAGUAAUCGCGAGUCAGCAUAUCGCGGUGAAUACGUUUCCGGGUCU